UGUUCCUAAAAGAAAAAGCAAUAUUAUGUGGGUCUAUUUUAAUCUUCUGUUUCAAAACUGUAAAAAUUAUUAAAACUACCUCACUUUUCUGGAGAUCUACAGUUUAACUGAAUAAAGUACCGCAUAAGUAAUACGUCUUAAAGAAACACACUUUCAGGAAGUGGUACUCAGUAACAUUUCCCCCUUUCAAGGAGACUGUUCUCCUGACCCAGUUCUUAAGAAUGGAUGCAAGGAAAAGCCUCUGGCCACGUAGCCAGUUUCUUUGAGCAAAAAUAAGGUUAUAGUGUGUGAUUAUCACAUGUUAAAUGAAAAGACCAAAAAGUCACUUCUAUUUUUCCUUUAAUAAAACUUAAAUCUCAGGAACAUGGUUCCAAGAAGACAGUUGAAGUGGCUUUUCUUCCUCCUGCCAGGGGAAAAGGAAGUACUGGGGAAGAUCAUCACUACGUGUGGGUUUUAUGGUUCUGGGGUUCCCUGGAAUACCCAGCCAAGUGCUGGCUGCUCGGACACUUUUCUGGCCUCUUCCCUUAUCCCUCCAGAGGAGAGGAAGCUGGCUCACUCACUCGAAAUGGCUGCUGGAGGGGCAUCUACUUCUACUUUAAGGGCAACCAUAAGAAUAACCUGAGCGAGUGGGAGGAAAAUUAUUGUUCAGCUUGACCAUUUUAGGAAAGACUGCUUUCAUGCAAAAAGAACAAGCCUUCAUAGGGGCAGAGAGCUGAUGAGUCCACACAGGGCUCUGAAAUCUGUGAGCAGCCAAAGAUGAGAAAAUGUAGGCAAAAAGAGCUGAAGUUAAUUGCCUGAGGUGACACGACUUAAAAAAGUCAGAGGAGGUCCUAAGCGCUUAACCACAGCACCCACUGCCUCUCAUAGGUGAUGAGAAAGGCCAAACUAGAAAUUCAGAUUUCUAGUCAGCUCACUCUCAGACAGACUCGCUUCUAAAGUUGAGGAGCUAGAUGCAGGAGAAAACUCAAGGAGCAGCCGGAGAGGAGAGCUUCCCUUCCUUACAUAACUCCUAAACAGUACCUGCCUUUGUGGAAAGAGGAAGUGAGUUCAAACUGAAAUCUCACUGCAACUUUGUUAUCAAAGGAGUUUCGGGCUUUAGUUCUGUUCCCCACAUUGGGGCCUUAGGGCGAACACGACAUUUCACCUUUUGGGAAAAUGAAACUUUGAGGUGUUCUGAAUGAAACCGUAACAGCAAGGGCAGGUGACAAAGGAAGCCCGCGUUUUGAUGCAGUGCUCAAUCACCAUGUCUGUGGCCACUCCGCAAGCAUGCAGUGCCACCUGGAAAACAAAACCAGACGUCAGCACUGAGCUCCUGCCUCACCAGCACUCCUGCUUCUGUGCCUUCUUCUUUCUUUCUUUCCCUUUUUUUUUUAACUCUUUGUGAGCAUGUGAGGACUGAUCCCCUGGAGGUUUCAAGUUACCAGAACAUUAUUCCAUAAUAGUUUAGAUAGUUCCCAUCUGGACAUACCAAAGGGCUAGUCAGCUAUUCAUAUUAAUUAAGAAAGCUAAGCAAGGCUGAGAGAUUACAAAUGGAACGCUGCAAAGGAAGCACAAGAUUUAUUCAAUGGAAAAUCUGACAUGAUGUUAAAUAUGGAAAAUUCAAUAUGUAUGCACGUCUAAGCUGGUGCUCUUGGUGAUUAUUAAUUUAGUUCAGUUGUAGCAUUGUGGCAAGAACACGAGAUUGAAAUCUGAAUGUCUAGUUUCAAACUGUAGUAGCCUAUGAGAUCCUGGGCCAUAUAAAAUUUAACUUCCUUGGGCCUCGGUCUGCUUAACUAUAAACUAUAGUUAACAGUACUGACAUAUAACAAUGAUGUUGCAAAAACUAAAUAAAAACAUAUUCAAAAACAUUCUUUCAAUACUACAUGAACAUAAUCUAAACAACGUUCUAGGAAAACUGAUCAAAUCAUAUUUAUGGAUCCCCUUUUCAUAUUCAUAUAACAGGUCAUAUAAUUCAUAAAAAUAAUAAUUUAUACAUAAUUCAUAUUUAUGAAUUCAACAAUUCAUAAAAAAAUCCCUAAAAAUGAUCUUAAGAUGUUUUCAAAACAAAUUCCUUAAAUAUACCUAUAUUGUGACACAAUCUAAAGUAGACAAUUAUGAAAACUAUUAGGCUAAAUAAAGCAAAACAGGACCCUAUGAAAAAAAAAUCUGAUAUGGGGAUCUUAAAAAAAUAUAGUAUUUUGUCAGAAAUAUGCUCAGAUCUCUGACAACUUCAAGGUAGAGAGGGUCUUUCAGAGUGAAGAGGAGAUUUUCUGGAAAUUUCUGAAUGUGAGUAUCAUAAGUUAGAUUCCCUUCUUAAACUGGAAAACCAAAAGCUAUGCUGUAUUGGGAAGAGGAAAGCAUGAUUUCUGCUCUCAAUCCUUCUUCUGAAUUUCCCCUCCUUUUAGGCUUAUAUUGAUUUAGAAGUCAACCGUCCCUGUGGUUGUUGUCAAUCCUCUUUCACUCUGAAAAUCAAGCCUGGGAAGGUUGCCAUUCGGUGGAGGCAGCCACUACUGGAUAACUGCAAGUAAAGAACUUUGAUUUCUCAUCUGUCCCUUUUAUUUAAUCAGCUUUGCAGGGUAAAAAUCAGGCUAGUUCUUAUUUUCAUGAGUAGCUAGAGAAAACCUCACCAUUAAAGUUGUAGAUGCAUAUUCCCCUGGAGGGGAAGAAAAGAGAACUAACACUCCCUGAGUGCCCUUUAUGUGGGGACACUAGGAUGGGUGAAGGCAUGCAGAUCUUUCUAUGCCUACAAGGGCCCUGAAAGAUUUUUAUCUCUGUUUUAGAAGUAAGAAAACUAAGGCUCAGAGAAAUUAAGAACAUGCCCACAACAAAGCAGAUUCUGAGCGGCAGGAUCCUGACCCCAGAGCCUGAACCCAUACGUUAAUUACAUCAGGCUGCUUCUCUGCAAAACUCUUUUAAGAAUCUUAAAAGUAUGGACAAUUUACUUUUAUAAAUCUCUCUUCACUUAGGUUCACACUUCCUUUGCUACAGGCAAAAUAAUGAGUUUAUUUCCCUCACUUAAACAAAACAACUAAAUCUAAGAACUGUUUACCCAAUGGAUUUUAGUCCUAAAAGGUUUUAUUGCUUCAUAUGCUCCUAAUUUCCAUUGUUACCAAAUGCAGAUCAGAAAGAACAGGCAAAUAACGAAGAGAGAUAUAGAUCAAUAGAACAAUCUGAAUAUGAACAUUGAGCAUAAAACAAAUGUGGCAUUUCAAACCACUGGGAAAAAGACAUACUUUUAAUUCAUUUUUUUUAAGAUUUUAUUUUUAAGUAAUCUCUAUUCCCAACAUGGGGCUCAAACUUACAACCCUGAGAUCAAAAGUUGCAUGCUCUACCAACUAAGUCAUCUAGGUGCCCUGAAGAUGGGCUUUUUAAUAAGUGAUGUUGAGUUAACUUGACAGCCAUAUGAAAAAUAAAAUGAGACCUUUUCCUCUCACCACACAUAGUAUAUUUCAAGUGGAUUAGAGAUUUUAAAGCACAAAACAACAACCACCAAUAAUGAAUUCCUCUAUAACCUAGGGGAGUGGAAAUACUUAACUAUGUCUGAAAUUCUAUAUACAAUAAAGAGUAAGUUAAUACAUUUGACAAAAAUGAAAAAAAUUAGAUGGCAAAGAAACAAAAACCAUACAUAAAAAGACAAAUGACAAAGUGAGAAAAAAAUUGGCAACUUAAAACAUUAACAAAAAGUUAAUAUCCCUAAUACAUAUCAAGUUUCUGAAAAUAAAGAGAAGUAUAUAAUCUGAUAGUAAAAUGGACAAAAGAUUUGGAAAAUCCAGAAACAAAAAUAUGUGAAUAUUGUCUUAAACCAAAGUUGUUCAAUAUUGUUCAAAAUAAGAGAACUAUUACAUUAAGAUACUACUUAUCACCCAUUAAAGUGGCAAAAUUCUAAAAUUUGAUGACAAUCUAUGGGCCAGGGUAUGGGGAAACAGAUAAUGUCAUACAUUGCUGGUGGGAAUAUAAAAACAUCACAACCCCAUGAAGGAGGAAUUUAGCAAUAUCCAGCAAAAUUACAUGAGUAAUUUGCGAACUCACUUCUAAAAAUCUGUUCAAGGGAGACACUGGCCAAAACAUAAAAAGAUUUAUUCAUUGAAGUAAUAUUUGAAAUAACAACAAGAUGGAAACAAGCCAAUUUUCCAUUGAAAGAGGACUCGCGGCUUGCUCUGAAGUUCUAAAAAGGAAUGAGGAACAUUUCUCUACAGGGCCAUGGUAGAGAUUAUUAAGUGAAAACUAAUGUUAAAACAGUUCUCAAACUAUUUUCAGUAACCAUCACUGGUGUCUGUAUUUUUGUUUUAAGACUCAAAUGUGUAUAUUGUGAGAUAAAGCAAAUAAGAAAUAUGCUAAUGGUGCCAUUAGGAAACAGAGCUUUUUUUUUUUUUUUUUUUUUUUUUAAA
Molecule: long non-coding RNA, 4367 nt
Organism: Mustela erminea (ermine)
Lineage: Eukaryota; Metazoa; Chordata; Mammalia; Carnivora; Mustelidae
Exons: 2
Source: RefSeq, a predicted model, not a curated record